This 472-nucleotide ribosomal RNA is filed under the name uncultured bacterium. RNAcentral's name for it is "bacterial SSU rRNA". It matches the Rfam family "Bacterial small subunit ribosomal RNA", at positions 355 to 825 of the family's 1533-position model. The record is from RNAcentral.
UAGGGAAUAUUGGACAAUGGGCGAAAGCCUGAUCCAGCCAUGCCGCGUGUGUGAAGAAGGUCUUCGGAUUGUAAAGCACUUUAAGUUGGGAGGAAGGGCAGUAACUUAAUACGUUGCUGUCUUGACGUUACCGACAGAAUAAGCACCGGCUAACUCUGUGCCAGCAGCCGCGGUAAUACAGAGGGUGCAAGCGUUAAUCGGAAUUACUGGGCGUAAAGCGCGCGUAGGUGGUUUGUUAAGUUGGAUGUGAAAGCCCCGGGCUCAACCUGGGAACUGCAUCCAAAACUGGCAAGCUAGAGUAUGGUAGAGGGUGGUGGAAUUUCCUGUGUAGCGGUGAAAUGCGUAGAUAUAGGAAGGAACACCAGUGGCGAAGGCGACCACCUGGACUGAUACUGACGCUCAGGUGCGAAAGCGUGGGGAGCAAACAGGAUUAGAUACCCUUGUAGUCCCUGAGCGGGCUGGCAAGGCGCAU